CGUUCCCGGGCCUUGUACACACCGCCCGUCACACCACGAGAGUUUGUAACACCCGAAGUCGGUGGGGUAACCUUUUAGGAGCCAGCCGCCUAAGGUGGGACAGAUGAUUGGGGUG
RNAcentral lists this ribosomal RNA (115 nucleotides) under uncultured bacterium. Its description in RNAcentral is "partial 16S ribosomal RNA". It matches the Rfam family "Bacterial small subunit ribosomal RNA", at positions 1369 to 1482 of the family's 1533-position model. The record is from RNAcentral.